RNAcentral lists this ribosomal RNA (253 nucleotides) under uncultured bacterium. Its description in RNAcentral is "partial 16S ribosomal RNA". It matches the Rfam family "Bacterial small subunit ribosomal RNA", at positions 524 to 776 of the family's 1533-position model. The record is from RNAcentral.
UACGUAGGUGGCAAGCGUUGUUCGGAAUUAUUGGGCGUAAAGGGCGCGUAGGCGGCAUGUUAAGUCGGCUGUGAAAGCCUGGGGCUCAACCCCAGAGGGUCGGCCGAUACUGGCAAGCUAGAGUACGGAAGAGGUAGCUGGAAUUCCCGGUGUAGCGGUGAAAUGCGUAGAUAUCUGGAGGAAUACCGGUGGCGAAGGCGGCAUCCUGGACCAUUACUGACGCUGAGGCGCGAAAGCUAGGGGAGCAAACGGG